UGAUUCCUCACACAUCUGGGCCAAGC
RNAcentral lists this non-coding RNA (26 nucleotides) under Rattus norvegicus (Norway rat). Lineage: Eukaryota; Metazoa; Chordata; Mammalia; Rodentia; Muridae. The record is from RNAcentral.